AGCGAACGCUGGCGGCGUGCCUAACACAUGCAAGUCGAGCGAGAAAGGGGGCUUCGGCUCCUGAGUACAGCGGCGAACGGGUGCGUAACACGUGGGUGAUCUGUCCUCAAGGCGGGGAUAACUCAGCGAAAGUUGGGCUAAUACCGGAUAAGGCCACAGGGGGAAACCCCGGGGGCCAAAGGGCACUCUCCUCUGGAGGUGCUCCCUUAAGGAGGAGCCCGCGGCCUAUCAGCUUGUUGGAGGGUAACGGCCUACCAAGGCAAAGACGGGUAGCUGGUCUGAGAGGAUGACCAGCCACACGGGGACUGAGACACGGCCCCGACUCCUACGGGAGGCAGCAGUGGGGAAUAUUGGGCAAUGGGGGAAACCCUGACCCAGCGACGCCGCGUGGGUGAUGAA
RNAcentral lists this ribosomal RNA (399 nucleotides) under uncultured bacterium. RNAcentral's name for it is "bacterial SSU rRNA". It matches the Rfam family "Bacterial small subunit ribosomal RNA", at positions 30 to 412 of the family's 1533-position model. The record is from RNAcentral.